Molecule: RNA transcript, 3840 nt
Organism: Abrus precatorius (Indian licorice)
Lineage: Eukaryota; Viridiplantae; Streptophyta; Magnoliopsida; Fabales; Fabaceae
Gene name: protein argonaute 1
Exons: 22
Source: RefSeq, a predicted model, not a curated record
AGGAGUAGUAGAAGAGAGAGAAGGGUAGAGGAGGGAGUGGUCAUUUUCAAAGACCUACCCCAUCUUUAUAACAUGUCCAAUUCUUAGCUUUCAUGUGGUUUCUCUCUUUCUUUCUCUUCACUAACAUCUCUUCGUUUCAUUUCUCUUCAACUAUAUCUUUUUCUUCAUUUUAGUGAGAGAAACUUACUCUUCUCUCUUUUUCACUCCACUGCCCCAGCUUCACCCUUCCCUCGUCUAAAAUCGCACUUGUUUUUCUUAUUCAGUGUUCAUCAUGGUCAGAAAGAAGAGAACUGAGGGACCUAGUGGGGGUGAAAGCUCUGAUACCCAACGCCCAGCUGAAAGAAGUGCUCCACCCCAACAACAAGCUGCUGCUGCAGGAGGGGCUGGAUCCCAGGGAGGUAGAGGUUGGAGUUCUCAAGGAGGACGCGCAGGUUAUGGUGGCGGCCGAGGUCGUGGGAUGCCCCAACAGCAAUAUGGUGCCCAACCUGAAUAUCAAGGUAGGGGAAGGGGAGGGCCUUCUCAACAAGGAGGACGAGGAGGAUAUGGUGGUGGUCGAGGUGGUGGUGGUGUGGGCAGUGGACGUGGCGUAGGUCCUUCAUACGGUGGUCCAUCCAGGCCACCGGCACCCGAGCUGCACCAAGCAACCUCAGUUCCAUAUCAGGCUGGGGUGACUCCUCAGGCCAUGUCAUCUGAGGCAAGUUCUUCCCAGAAGCUGGAAAUUUCAGAAUUGGAACAGCAAACGGGGCAGAUGUCAAUUCAUUCUGAAACUAAUCCUGCUCCUCCUCCCUCGAGUAAAUCAUCAAUGAGGUUUCCUCUUCGACCAGGAAAGGGUAGCUAUGGCACCAGAUGUAUUGUUAAGGCCAAUCAUUUCUUUGCUGAGCUACCUAAUAAAGAUCUGCAUCAGUAUGAUGUAACAAUUACUCCUGAAGUGCCAUCGAGAGGUGUGAACCGUGCUGUUAUGGAGCAGUUGGUGAGGCUGUACCGAGAAUCUCACCUGGGUAAGAGACUUCCUGCUUAUGAUGGGCGCAAGAGCCUCUAUACUGCUGGUCCACUUCCCUUUAUAUCGAAGGAGUUUAGAAUCACCCUCAUUGAUGAUGAUGAAGGAGCAGGAGGACAGAGGAGGGACAGAGAGUUCAAAGUGGUGAUAAAAUUUGCUGCACGAGCAGACCUUCACCAUUUAGGGCUCUUUUUACAGGGAAGACAAACUGAUGCUCCUCAGGAAGCCCUGCAAGUCCUUGACAUUGUUCUGCGGGAACUUCCUACUACCAGGUAUUGUCCUGUAGGGAGAUCAUUUUAUUCACCUGAUCUGGGUAGAAGACAGCCUUUAGGUGAGGGAUUGGAAAGCUGGCGUGGUUUCUAUCAAAGUAUUCGUCCCACUCAGAUGGGACUAUCAUUGAACAUUGACAUGUCCUCCACUGCAUUUAUUGAGCCAUUGCCAGUAAUUGACUUUGUAACUCAAUUGCUGAAUAGAGAUGUAUCCUCCCGACCCCUGUCUGAUGCUGACCGGGUGAAGAUAAAGAAAGCGCUCCGUGGUAUCAAAGUUGAAGUAACACAUCGUGGAAAUAUGAGAAGAAAAUACCGAAUCUCUGGCCUGACUUCACAGGCAACUAGAGAAUUGACAUUCCCUGUAGAUGAAAGGGGGACGAUGAAAUCUGUUGUGGAGUAUUUCUAUGAUACAUAUGGUUUUGUUAUUCAACACACUCAGUGGCCCUGUCUGCAAGUAGGCAAUACACAGAGGCCAAACUAUUUACCAAUGGAGGUUUGCAAGAUUGUAGAGGGUCAAAGAUACUCAAAGAGGUUGAAUGAGAGACAGAUUACUGCUCUGCUAAAAGUCACAUGCCAGCGUCCUGUUGAGAGGGAGCGUGACAUCAUGCAGACAGUACAUCACAAUGCCUACCAUGAGGAUCCUUAUGCCAAAGAAUUUGGAAUCAAAAUUAGUGAGAAGCUUGCUCAAGUUGAAGCUCGCAUCCUUCCUGCACCUUGGCUCAAAUAUCAUGAUACGGGUAGAGAAAAAGAUUGUCUUCCUCAAGUUGGGCAAUGGAAUAUGAUGAACAAGAAAAUGGUCAAUGGUGGGACAGUCAACAACUGGUUCUGCAUAAAUUUUUCAAGGAAUGUUCAAGAUAGUGUUGCCCGGGGUUUUUGUUAUGAACUUGCUCAGAUGUGUUACAUUUCUGGCAUGGCAUUUAAUCCAGAGCCAGUAGUUCCCCCACUUAGUGCACGCCCUGAUCAAGUGGAAAAGGUUCUAAAAACUCGAUAUCAUGAUGCCAAGAAUAAACUGCAGGGAAGGGAGCUUGAUUUGCUUAUUGUUAUUUUGCCUGAUAAUAAUGGCUCUCUUUAUGGUGACCUCAAACGAAUAUGCGAGACAGACCUUGGGCUUGUUUCACAGUGUUGCUUAACUAAGCAUGUUUUUAAAAUGAGCAAGCAGUACCUUGCAAAUGUUGCUUUGAAAAUUAAUGUUAAGGUUGGAGGUAGGAAUACUGUACUUGUCGAUGCAAUCUCACGACGCAUUCCCUUAGUCAGCGACAGGCCCACAAUUAUUUUUGGAGCUGAUGUGACUCAUCCGCAUCCUGGAGAGGAUUCAAGCCCAUCAAUUGCAGCAGUUGUGGCUUCUCAAGAUUGGCCCGAGAUUACAAAGUAUGCUGGUUUGGUUUGUGCCCAAGCACAUAGACAGGAACUCAUUCAAGAUCUUUUCAAACAAUGGCAGGAUCCCGUCAGAGGAACAUUAACUGGCGGAAUGAUCAAGUACUCUCUUUCCCUCCUCUCAUAUGGAACUUCUUAUAUCUUUCCGGCGGGCUACAGGACAGAAGCCACAGCGCAUCAUAUUUUACAGGGAUGGUGUGAGUGAGGGGCAGUUUUAUCAAGUUUUAUUGUUUGAGCUUGAUGCUAUUCGAAAGGCUUGUGCAUCCCUUGAACCCAACUAUCAGCCACCUGUAACUUUUGUGGUGGUUCAAAAGCGUCAUCACACAAGGCUCUUUGCUAGCAACCAUCAUGAUAAGAGUUCUGUUGACCGGAGUGGCAAUAUAUUACCCGGCACGGUUGUAGACUCCAAAAUUUGCCAUCCAACCGAAUUUGACUUUUAUCUCUGUAGCCAUGCUGGAAUACAGGGUACAAGCCGUCCUGCUCAUUACCAUGUCUUGUGGGACGAGAACAAUUUUACUGCUGAUGCUUUGCAAACCCUAACCAACAACCUUUGCUACACUUAUGCUAGAUGCACCCGUUCUGUUUCAAUCGUGCCCCCUGCAUAUUAUGCCCAUUUGGCUGCAUUUCGGGCAAGGUUUUACAUGGAACCCGAGACCUCAGAUAGUGGGUCUAUGACAAGCGGCGCUGUUGCUGGCCGCGGAAUGGGUGGUGGUGGUGCAGGACGAAGCACUCGAGCCCCUGGUGCUAGUGCUGCUGUGAGGCCAUUACCUGCUCUUAAGGAGAAUGUCAAGAGGGUUAUGUUCUAUUGCUAAUCUAAGAUCAAUGAAUGUUGUUAUUAUUGAAGCACUAUCUCAAGUUAUUUUGUUGUGGUUAUUGCUUUGAAAGCAUCUUAGGAUAUUGCUCCAGUGUGUUGUCUUACAUGCUCUUGUUUGUCUCAAAAUAGCUGUCAUUGGGGGUUUGGCUUUGAUCCAAACUAUGUUAACAUUGCAAGUCAUUUAUGACUUUGUUGUCACCGUAAAGAAAUCUAUAAUUUAGAUGAGUAAUGGAAUGGAGAAGUUGAAAUUAAGUUCUUAAUCUUUCAAAAUCUUUCUGGAUUAAUUGGGAAUUUGGACAUGGAUAAUGUUGUAAUUUCAGUUCCGGUUUUUAUUGUAGUUGUGUUUACACAAUCGUUUUAAUUAUGUUAGAAAUUUGGAGCUUUAU